RNAcentral lists this ribosomal RNA (413 nucleotides) under Erysiphe trifolii. RNAcentral describes it as "eukaryotic LSU rRNA". The stretch from base 71 to 224 matches the Rfam family "5.8S ribosomal RNA". The record is from RNAcentral. Lineage: Eukaryota; Fungi; Ascomycota; Leotiomycetes; Helotiales; Erysiphaceae.
GCGCCCGCCGGAGAACCAACCCAAACUCAUGUUGUUUGUGUCGUCUCAGCUUUAUUAUGAAAAUUGAUAAAACUUUCAACAACGGAUCUCUUGGCUCUGGCAUCGAUGAAGAACGCAGCGAAAUGCGAUAAGUAAUGUGAAUUGCAGAAUUUAGUGAAUCAUCGAAUCUUUGAACGCACAUUGCGCCCCUUGGUAUUCCGAGGGGCAUGCCUGUUCGAGCGUCAUAACACCCCCUCCAGCUGCCUUUGUGUGGCUGCGGUGUUGGGGCACGUCGCGAUGCGGCGGCCCUUAAAGACAGUGGCGGUCCCGGCGUGGGCUCUACGCGUAGUAACUUGCUUCUCGCGACAGAGUGACAACGGUGGCUUGCCAGAACACCCCUCUUUUGCUCCGUCACAUGGAUCACAGGUUGACCU